RNAcentral lists this ribosomal RNA (255 nucleotides) under uncultured bacterium. RNAcentral describes it as "partial 16S ribosomal RNA". It matches the Rfam family "Bacterial small subunit ribosomal RNA", at positions 524 to 777 of the family's 1533-position model. The record is from RNAcentral.
UACGAAGGGGGCUAGCGUUGUUCGGAAUUACUGGGCGUAAAGCGCGCGCAGGCGGCUAUCCAAGUCAGUGGUGAAAGCCCCGGAGCUCAACUCCGGAACUGCCAUUGAAACUGUUAGCUUGAGGAUGAGAGAGGUGAGUGGAAUUCCCAGUGUAGAGGUGAAAUUCGUAGAUAUUGGGAAGAACACCGGUGGCGAAGGCGGCUCACUCGGCCCGUAACUGACGCUGAGGUGCGAAAGCGUGGGGAGCAAACAGGG